Molecule: transfer RNA, 91 nt
Filed under: Pseudomonadota bacterium
Lineage: Bacteria; Pseudomonadati; Pseudomonadota
Also listed under: 1 other name
Description: Proteobacteria bacterium tRNA-Leu
Rfam family: tRNA
About the family: Transfer RNA (tRNA) molecules are approximately 80 nucleotides in length. Their secondary structure includes four short double-helical elements and three loops (D, anti-codon, and T loops). Further hydrogen bonds mediate the characteristic L-shaped molecular structure. tRNAs have two regions of fundamental functional importance: the anti-codon, which is responsible for specific mRNA codon recognition, and the 3' end, to which the tRNAs corresponding amino acid is attached (by aminoacyl-tRNA synthetases). tRNAs cope with the degeneracy of the genetic code in two manners: having more than one tRNA (with a specific anti-codon) for a particular amino acid; and 'wobble' base-pairing, i.e. permitting non-standard base-pairing at the 3rd anti-codon position.
Source: RNAcentral
GCCGGGGUGGUGGAAUUGGUAGACACACAGGACUUAAAAUCCUGCGGACCUUCACCGGACCGUACGAGUUCGAUUCUCGUCCUCGGCACCA